UACAAAAAUUAAGUUCGUAUAUUUAUUAACGUUGUAAAAAAAAGAAACGGCUAUUUGUUUCCGGUUAACUAGUAAUUAUAAAAGCGUGUGAUGGACACAUAUGGGACUAUCCAAGAUCCAACAAAAGGACAACUAAACUAUUUACAUUUAUGUUGGAUAAUAAACAGUAUUGCUUCCAAUUUCGUGAGGAUGAUAUUUGAUGUUGAAUUCUAUCCUGCAACACUGCCAGCUACGUUAAGAAGAAAUUUCCAAAAAAUAAAUGAUUUAAAACAGCAAAAAAUAAUAAAAGAACCACAGUAUAGGCUGUUAAACUCAGUAGACGGUAAAAUUAUAUUCCUAGCUGCUAUAAUGUUUGUACAUUAGUCUACUGAAAAUGACAAUUAAACAUGUGAAAUGCAAUUACAUUGUACAAGUAACAGUUAAUAAGAUUGAUAAUUUGAUGAUCAAAAAUGUAUUAAUUGAAAAGCAAAAGAAAAAUCAAGCAACAAAAAAUAAUGUGUAUGUUCUCAUGAAUGUUUCCUUUUUUUAUUCAGUAUCUUCAAAAAAACUUGAUUUAACGCUGAUGGUAUGCUUACUUCGCCAUUUGGCAGAAUUUCAAAUAGGAGAGAAUAAACCGCAGUCGCACGACGAAUCUGUAGCUGCAGACUUAUCUAGAUUGAAAUAUUACAGAAAUAAAAUUGUACAUGCAGCGGGUGGAACCAUCACAGAUGACAAUUUUAACAAAUAUUUCGCAGCCAUUCGUGAGGUUUGUUUCGUUGAUUCUUUGUAAAACGCAUACCAUUUGUGUAGGUUUUGCUGUUUUCUUAGUUUUUUGUAAAGUAAAAUAUAUAAAAAUAUGCUAAAUCUAUUAGAAUCAUAAAAAAUGAUAUAAGAUUGCUGUUGCGUGUAUUAAACUUACUUUUGUUUAAUAAACCGCUGACAUA
Molecule: long non-coding RNA, 923 nt
Organism: Mytilus californianus (California mussel)
Lineage: Eukaryota; Metazoa; Mollusca; Bivalvia; Mytilida; Mytilidae
Exons: 3
Source: RefSeq, a predicted model, not a curated record